Long non-coding RNA from Cervus elaphus (red deer), 273 nucleotides. RefSeq lists it as uncharacterized. The record is from RefSeq and is a predicted model, not a curated record. The transcript is spliced from 3 exons. NCBI's taxonomy places the organism in Eukaryota, Metazoa, Chordata, Mammalia, Artiodactyla, Cervidae.
CGGCAUUAUCUCUCAUGAUUUGAAAUAGCUCAACUGGAAAUCCAUCACAUCCACUAGCUUUGUUCACAGUGAUGCUUUCUAAGGCCCACCUGACUUCACAUUCCAGGAUGACUGGCUUUAGGAUAGUGAUAACACCAUUGUUAUUAUCUUGGUCGUGAAGUUCUUCUUUUGUACAGUUCUUCUGUGUAUUUUUGCCACCUCUUCUUAAUAUCUUCUGCUUCUGAUAGUUAAAGUUAGUUCAGUUCAGUUGCUCAGUCAUGUCCAACUCUUUGC